AAACUAUGUUGUUUUGAAAAAUCCUAGUUAAUAUUUAAUAGUGCUAGAUUUAUCGAUAAAAUACCAUUAUCUUUUUACUUUUACUGAUAUAAUUUUUGUUAGUUUUCAUUUUUUCAUACACUUAUAAAUAUUUUAUCCAGAUUAUUAUUAAACGGAGUAGAUAGUUAAUGAUUUAACAUUUAUAGUGAAAUAAUUUUAAAAUAUCCUAGCUUUGGCUGUGUAUCAAAUCAUUCAGCAUUAAUAAGACUUAGUUAAAUGCUGAACAAAUUUAAUGUCUUACGGUUUAUCUACGUAUCAGCUAUUUAAAAACGAUAAGGUUUAUAGAGUGAACGGUAUUUAAUGAUAAUCGAUAUAAUAUGUAUAUAGCACCGUAUUAUACUCGUAUAUAUUAUAAUACUAUGUAGAAUAUCGACAGUUCAAAGCCCGCGGGAAAAAAAUAAAGUUAUCGGAAAACAAGACACGUAUGAAAUGUUUUAUUGUAUUAUUCAAUUAAGAAAGUAAUGCGACGUGACUGUUGUGGUAGUGCGGUUUGUACUUUAGUGCCGAAUACAUAUUACGUCAAAAACCACUGCCGCGACAUGCCUAUAUUAUUAAAUUCUAAUUGAUGUACAAAAGCUGCCAAUUCUGACGACAAGAUCUUCAAAUCAAAUGAAGUCCUAUAUAAUAUGCAAUACUCUGUCAUUUGCAUUACAUUAUAAUAUAUCGUCGUCCACAUACGCACUACACACACAUACACAUAUUCUCUAUAUAUAUAUUAGAAGAAUAAUAGUAAUGUACCGUGUACAGUUGCGUUGUUUGUAUACACAAACAUUAUAGGUCGUAAAAUAAUUGGUUACUAUUGUGAUUUAAAAUAGGCUUUUCAAAUCCGCCCUAUGCGUUAUGUCCAUCUACACUAUUCAUUCCUCGCACAAUAAUACAUAAAGUUCGAAAUGUAAAUGGUAUGUGUGUGUGUGUAUUUGUACUCAGGAUAAAACACAUUGAGUAACACUAUAUAUCUCGCUGAUGAAAUA
This is a long non-coding RNA of Aphis gossypii (cotton aphid), 1010 nucleotides long. RefSeq lists it as uncharacterized. The record is from RefSeq and is a predicted model, not a curated record. Lineage: Eukaryota; Metazoa; Arthropoda; Insecta; Hemiptera; Aphididae. The transcript has 3 exons.